RNAcentral lists this ribosomal RNA (497 nucleotides) under uncultured bacterium. RNAcentral's name for it is "partial 16S ribosomal RNA". It matches the Rfam family "Bacterial small subunit ribosomal RNA", at positions 28 to 507 of the family's 1533-position model. The record is from RNAcentral.
GAUGAACGCUGGCGGCGUGCCUAAUACAUGCAAGUCGAGCGAACGGACGAGAAGCUUGCUUCUCUGAUGUUAGCGGCGGACGGGUGAGUAACACGUGGAUAACCUACCUAUAAGACUGGGAUAACUUCGGGAAACCGUAGCUAAUACCGGAUAAUAUUUUGAACCGCAUGGUUCAAAAGUGAAAGACGGUCUUGCUGUCACUUAUAGAUGGAUCCGCGCUGCAUUAGCUAGUUGGUAAGGUAACGGCUUACCAAGGCAACGACGCAUAGCCGACCUGAGAGGGUGAUCGGCCACACUGGAACUGAGACACGGUCCAGACUCCUACGGGAGGCAGCAGUAGGGAAUCUUCCGCAAUGGGCGAAAGCCUGACGGAGCAACGCCGCGUGAGUGAUGAAGGUCUUCGGAUCGUAAAACUCUGUUAUUAGGGAAGAACAUAUGUGUAAGUAACUGUGCACAUCUUGACGGUACCUAAUCAGAAAGCCACGGCUAACUACGUG